ACAAAGUAUGGGUGGAAGGGAGGAUCUGCACCCCCAUUUUACAGAUGGGAACUGAGACACAAGGAGAUCAACAAAAGGUGGAAGAUUAAGUAGUCUCUCUCCUAUACGUCUUUAUCUUGAACCGUCCUGCUAUUCCUGCUGCACCUCCUCUCCCCCUGCUCAGCAUAAUAAUCACACUUGGUUUGAACACCCAAUUUACAUGGCUUUCAGACCAGCUCAUCCCACUGUCUAACUUCACCACUAAGUCUGGUCCAGAGGUUUCCAUGGGAGUUAGAUCUGCUUACACCAGGGCUGCAUUUGGCCCAGUACGUGUAGAGAGGAGACCUUGAGAAAACUUUGCAAGAAUUAGAGUGCAAAUAAGCAGAGCAAUGAGAAAAAGAGGGGACAGAGCUUUCAAAUUCUACCAAGAAAGCAAACAUUAAAGAGGGUAAUGAACAUGGUACAGGCCAAGUUACUUGUGCAACUGCCAAUCAGUCAAGGUAAUUGGCCAAGGGUUCAGGCUUAACCUCCAUAGUUGAAGAUAACCAGUCAUUUGGAUCACAGGUGGUUUAGACAGAAACUAAUAUGGAGAAAUAUACAACAGUGUUUUCGCACCUUGGACGUGAAUGGAUACCUUACCUCACAGAGGCCCCUCAUCAGGGGAGCAGAGCAUCCCCACUUUCAAUAAACUAGGCAAGUGCAACAUAGAUGCUAGUGGAAAUGGGUUUAGCUAUUCUGAGCACUGAAUCUCAAUUCAACAAUUCAUGUAAACCAUUAAAGCAUGAAAGUUAUGACGGAGACACUUAAUCAUGAGCAGCUGAUGUUCAGCCUUGGAAACUAAGCAGUGGUUCCCUGGCUAAUACUCCCAGUCCAUUUGAAAGGCGAGUGCAGAAUGUUAAUUAUUCCUUGCCCACCAACCCUUGGUUUCUGAACAGUUACAAAUUUGAUUUGCCCCUCGAUUGUGAUUUUCUGCCUAUUGAGCUUUCCUCGCUGCACUAACUCAAGGAAGAUCCUCACGUGCCAGGUCCUACAAAAGUCACCCAUCAUAAUCUAAAUGCCAGCCUCACAGUUUUGCCCUCUGGUGCGAAUUUACAGGCACAAGUGAGGGCCUAUAACAGGCUAGAAGUGUUUGCCUGAAACACCCCAACCUGUUAGCGGAUCUUCAGCCAGCUGACAAAAGUGUUCUGUGGGUUCUGCUGACUGAACAAGGCAGAUGACUCACUGGUCCACCUGCAUAAAAGGUAGCUGGGAGUGACUUUCGGAGGGAGAGAGGAUCUAGGGUGUGGACUGAACACUUCUGAGGGAGGAGCCUGUCAGAGCAGCCAACCCUGGUGAGAAGCCUUGAGCUAAACUUUGUUUAUUGCUGAACUCUUUCAUUAACAAAUCAAAACUCCAGGAAGGCAGUGAAUUUCGACUCUGCAUCGAGGUAUGGAGCUGUCCAGCUGCAUGACUAUGCCCACAAGACAGGUAGCUGGAUGUCUACAUACCCUCCUCUGUGCUCACAGUUAUUCGCAGGCACAAAAGGGAAGACCCCUUCAAGACCAGGUCUUAAAGCUCCACAGUAGAUCCUUUUUCUGCAUUGUACAUCUGCACAGACUAAGUUCCUUUAAGAUGGUGACUUCAUCUCUAUCUUGCAUAGCAUCAGAGACACCAUGAGUACGUAACCAAUACUAUCAAUAAUCUUACCAUGGUGGAAUGUAUCAUUGAGGCAUUCUAACCCCUGCUGAUUAGGUAGCAACAGCCAUUUGAGAAAGGGAAGAACAUGUGUUCUACAACAUACAGCAGAAUAAGCUGGAAGGCACUGAAUGAGCAGACGGACAUAAUAUUCCAAAGUUAAAUGUUACAGCAAUGCAAACUGGCAAGUUACAUUUAGGGGAAACAUUUAAAGCAUGUUAUUCAGAGAAUGUAGCAUGGACUCUGCAAGUAUCCAGCUUUUUAGGAGUACUGAUUUCAAAGAAACAUAAGAGGAGGAAAUAUUUGUUUGGUGGAAAGGAAACCAGCCAAAAGACACUUCCAACAUUUCAGAUGAACACUUCAUUUUUUGUUUGUUGGAUCUGAAAGCUUGAUUAAAAGAUAAUUAAGGUCCCGGUCCUACAAACACAUAUGCUGAACUUCAAGCAUUUAAGUCAUCUCACUGAAGUCAAUGCAACUGCUCUUAAAACACAUGAACAUACAACCCAAAGCGAUCUCCUGGCUCAUCAAAUCCAGCCUGCUGUUAUUGCAGGCAAUCCCAUUAUACUAUCUGAUUCAUAAAUUUAUCAAACUCCUUCUUAAAACUAGUUAGGUUGUAUGGUCCCACUACUUCUAAUGGCAGGCUGUUGCAGAACCUCACUCCUCUGAUGGUUAGAAACCUUCUUCUAAUUUCCAGCCUGAAUUCAUUCAUAACCAGUUCAUACCCAUUUAUUCUUGUGCCAACAUUGUUCUUUAGCAAGCUCUUCUCCCUUUGCACCAUUCACCCCCUUAAUUAUUUGAAGGUAAGCACGUGUGUAAAUGCUUGCAGGACUGGACCUAGGCGAAAGAAUAUUUGCUGCAGGGUGACCAGUGAUAAUGCUGUCACUCUGGAAAUUAUUGGAGGAUUUGUGUUCUCUGAAGAACAUGGCAGAAUAUGAGAUUCUGGCAAGGAAAAGGGGAGGUGAUCAUUGAAACAAGACAAAAGAAAAAAAUUAACGGAGAAAGUUAGCUGGUAAUCAUAUAAUUACCUUCUGAUACCUGUGAGGCCACUGCACAUGCAAGUGAAAGAGAAAAGGAAAAACAACAAAGGCAAAAGAAAAGACAAGUUCAACUGGCUAGGAUGACGACUCGAUGUUUAAAAAAAUCUUUGAAAUUGCACAACAAUUUACAUUAUCUGUUUGAUUUUCCACUUUCAGAUUAUAACAGUAAUAGCUUUAACAUUAUAUAUAUAUAUAUAUUCAUCUUGUGGGGAAAAAAAAAAAAAAGAGUUAAGAUAAGAAAGAAUAAUCCUCCUCCUGCUACUCUUCCCGUUCAGUACCAGGACUGGGAGGGUAAGAUAGAGCACUUGGGUCUGAACUUCAGAAGGCAAAGGGAGAAAUAGAAAUGAAUGUCCCUGAAAUAUGUUAUGGUUGGGUCAACGUGAGAUCAAGUGCUUUUCCCUGUUUAUUAGGAGUUUCAAAUGGGAGAUGUGCCACAUCAAAGUCUGGUGGAGGAUUGUGUUCUUGUGAUUUAAAAAAAAAAAAAAAAGAAGAAGAAGAAGAAGAAGGAUGCCUGGAUGUGUGGUUUUUUUUAAUUAAAGAACACUGCCUGCCCUACUUUAUUAAUUGGAAUAUGGGAAAUAAUCUGUCCGUGUGGUGGGGAGUCUGGGGAAUAGGACAGAUGGGGCUGGUGUGCAUUUUCAAUCAAAGCACAUAAAAAUUAACAUACAGAAAGAUGGGUUUUUUGGUUUUUUUUUUUUUUUUUUUUGCUAGACUACUUAUGCUUGAUUUUUUUUUCAAAGGCUCAAAUUAAGUCUGUUUUGUAUCUCUGUGCCUCAGGAAAGAAGAAAAAGAAAGAAUUUAUAGUGUUUAUAGCACUGGAAUUUCAACCCCCACCUCUUCCAUCUCCUUUUAUUUUAAUACUGAAAGAUCAUUCCAGUCUAAAAAGGAUUCCAAAGGACUUUUCUCUGAACAAAUAACAUCGGCGGAUUGAAAAACAAUCAGAAAAUUAAAAUUAAAAAACCUGAAAGUAAAGUUGGUUAUUAAAUACUUAUUUUGAGGUGCUGCCCAUAGGGCUAUAUCCAGCUAGAUGGGAUUCCUUUCCGGGAUACCACAGCCUACUGCUGAUACUGAAGCCUUAUUCUGAUGGCUUACUUGAGAGUUAAGUAGUGUAUAAAAGAUUUGUGCAGACACACAGUUAAAAGUGACGACACAAGAGAUUCAGCCGGUGUCUCUCUACCUCAGUGGCGGUAGAAGACUUCGCCCUGUUUGAGGUGAGAUUUUCAAAAGAGUUGGUCUGACUUUGCUCCCGCAGAAGUUCGUUGUCAAACUCUCAGCGACCUCAAGGGGAGCAGAGUUAGGCCAGUCUAGCUACAGGACUUAGUUGACCCCAUUACCAGAGUAGCUGAGCACCCCCAAAUCUUUAAUGUAUUUAUCUUUACACACCCCUGUGGGCAGGGCAGUGCUAAUAUCCCCAUUGUGUAGAUGGGGAACUGAGGUAAAGCGACUUGCCAAGGUAACACAGGACUCUGGGGUAGAGCAGAGAAUUGAACCCGGGUUCAGACCCAAGCGCUCCAAGAAGCAAUCAUUUAUGCUGUCUAGAAAUUGUAUGUCCUGUUACUACUGUGACCUGAAACUAUUCCAUAAAGAAAUAAUUUUAGAUAUUGGUUUCCACCAACCAUUUAUAGCCUUUAUUUAAUGUAUGCCCUUCAUCUCAGCUGGAUGAUGAAAACAGGCUACUCACGGCUUGUCUUCACUACAGGGGUAAGUCGACCUAAGUUAUGUAGCUUGGGUCGACUUCUCCCAGUGUCUUCACUGCACUGCGUCAAUGGGAGACGCUUUCCGGUCGACUUCCUUUAUUCUUCUCAGGGAGCUGGAGUACCGGAGUCAACUGGAGAGCCCCCUGCCAUUGA
Long non-coding RNA from Chelonia mydas (Green sea turtle), 4540 nucleotides. RefSeq lists it as uncharacterized. The record is from RefSeq and is a predicted model, not a curated record. Lineage: Eukaryota; Metazoa; Chordata; Testudines; Cheloniidae. The transcript has 3 exons.